GUAUUGUAUGAAAGGAGAGAAGGUUAGCACCUACCUUGACAAAGACAGAAGAGGCCCUGGGGCCUGAUGGCAGCAUAUGGCUAAGGUACUGCCACCCACUUUGUGGCAUCAAUCAGGAGCCAUA
Molecule: non-coding RNA, 124 nt
Filed under: Octodon degus (degu)
Lineage: Eukaryota; Metazoa; Chordata; Mammalia; Rodentia; Octodontidae
Source: RNAcentral